RNAcentral lists this ribosomal RNA (253 nucleotides) under uncultured bacterium. Its description in RNAcentral is "partial 16S ribosomal RNA". It matches the Rfam family "Bacterial small subunit ribosomal RNA", at positions 524 to 776 of the family's 1533-position model. The record is from RNAcentral.
UACAGAGGGUGCAAGCGUUAAUCGGAUUUACUGGGCGUAAAGCGUGCGUAGGAGGUCGCGUAAGUCGGUUGUGAAAUCCCUGGGCUCAACCUGGGAAUUGCUUCCGAUACUGCGGGACUAGAGUUCGGUAGAGGGUGGCGGAACUCCCGGUGUAGCGGUGAAAUGCGUAGAUAUCGGAAGGAACAUCAGUGGCGAAAGCGGCUUCCUGGACCAGUACCGACGUUCAGGCACGAAAGCGUGGGGAGCAAACAGG